GACGAACGCUGGCGGCGUGCUUAACACAUGCAAGUCGAACGGAAAGGCCCCCUUGUGGGGUACUCGAGUGGCGAACGGGUGAGUAACACGUGAGUAACCUACCCUUGACUUUGGGAUAACUUCAGGAAACUGGGGCUAAUACCGGAUAGGAGCUCCUGCUGCAUGGUGGGGGUUGGAAAGUUUCGGCGGUUGGGGAUGGACUCGCGGCUUAUCAGCUUGUUGGUGGGGUAGUGGCUCACCAAGGCUUUGACGGGUAGCCGGCCUGAGAGGGUGACCGGCCACAUUGGGACUGAGAUACGGCCCAGACUCCUACGGGAGGCGGCAGUGGGGAAUAUUGCACAAUGGGCGGAAGCCUGAUGCAGCAACGCCGCGUGCGGGAUGACGGCCUUCGGGUUGUAAACCGCUUUCGCCUGUGACGAAGCGUGAGUGACGGUAAUGGGUAAAGAAGCACCGGCUAACUACGUG
Molecule: ribosomal RNA, 465 nt
Filed under: uncultured bacterium
Lineage: Bacteria
Description: partial 16S ribosomal RNA
Rfam family: Bacterial small subunit ribosomal RNA
Source: RNAcentral